Molecule: ribosomal RNA, 1351 nt
Filed under: uncultured marine eukaryote
Lineage: Eukaryota
Description: SSU rRNA
Rfam family: Eukaryotic small subunit ribosomal RNA
Source: RNAcentral
CACUUCUAAGGAAGGCAGCAGGCGCGCAAAUUACCCAAUCCUGACUCAGGGAGGUAGUGACAAGAAAUAACAAUAAACCGGCUUAUGCCGGUUUAAUUGGAAUGAGUACAAUUUAAACAUCUUAACGAGGAACAAUUGGAGGGCAAGUCUGGUGCCAGCAGCCGCGGUAAUUCCAGCUCCAAUAGCGUAUACUAAAGUUGUUGCAGUUAAAAAGCUCGUAGUUGGAUUUCUGUGGGGACGGAGCGGCCGGCCGCAACUCGCGGUUCGAGCUAGCGCUUUCCCUACAUCCUGCCGCGAACCGUGCUACCAUUAGUUUGGUGGCGCCGGGGAUCGGCUCGAUUACUUUGAGAAAAAUAGAGUGUUCAAAGCAGGCCACAUGCCUUGAAUAAGUUAGCAUGGAAUAAUAACUAAGGACUUCGGUUCUAUUUUGUUGGUGUUCGGGACUGAAGUAAUGAUUGAUAGGGACAGUUGGGGCGGUCUGUAUUCCAAAGCGAGAGGUGAAAUUCUUAGACCUUCGGAAGACAAACAGCUGCGAAAGCGUUCCGCAAGGAUGUUCCCUUUGAUCAAGAACGAAAGUUGGGGGAUCGAAGACGAUCAGAUACCGUCGUAGUCUCAACUAUAAACUAUACCAGCUAGGGAUCGGCCAACGUUAUUUUAUACCGACUUGGUCGGCACCUUAUGAGAAAUCAAAGCAUCUGGGUUCCGGGGGGAGUAUGGUCGCAAGGCUGAAACUUAAAGGAAUUGACGGAAGGGCACCACCAGCCGUGGAGCCUGUGGCUUAAUUUGACUCAACACGGGAAAACUUACCAGGUCCAGACAUAGUAAGGAUUGACAGAUUGAUAGCUCUUUCUUGAUUCUGUGGGUGGUGGUGCAUGGCCGUUCUUAGUUGGUGGAGUGAUUUGUCUGGUUAAUUCCGUUAACGAACGAGACCCCAGCCUGCUAAAUAGCGCGCGUGAGCUUUGCUCGCGGCGAGCUUCUUAGAGGGACUCUGAUGCGCGAUAGCACAUGGAAGUUUGGGGCAAUAACAGGUCUGUGAUGCCCUUAGAUGUUCUGGGCCGCACACGGGCUACACUGGCGCCUGCAACGAGCAUAUCAGCUGGCCCGAGAGGGUCUUGGCUAAUCUUUUGAACCGGCGCCGUGCUUGGGAUUGACCUUUGCAAUUGUUGGUCAUGCAACGAGGAAUGCCUUGUAAACGCGAGUCAUCAGCUCGCAUUGAAUACGUCCCUGCCCUUUGUACACACCGCCCGUCGCUCCUACCGAUGAAUGUUCCGAUGAAAUUUUCGGAGAGCACCUGUGAACUUGGCUCUGCCUUGCGAACGGGAGGCUCAAAGUCACUUAAAUCUGAACAUUU